GAAUAACGUUGUGCAGCAAUAAUGUGCGGCUGCGUGCUGUUUGAAGGUGUCCCAUGAAAGCCGCCCACAGCACCGUAGCAGGUCGGGGGCCGAAUGAAAGCUGAUUUCGAUCCGCCAAAGCCACCACCGUGAUGGAGGGGAGCAGCGCCGAAGCCUCAAAAAGUCGCACUGGGGUCGUGUUUUGCCUCCCAGGCACAUCCAGAACCACACGACAGGGCAAGGUGCUGCUUUUAUUGCCCUCCGACAGCCUCCUACCUACCUACCUACCUACCUACCUACCUACCUACCUACCUACCUACCUACCUACCUACCUACCUACCUACAUGCAGCGUCUUACGUUUGGACAGAUGCUUUAGGGGGUCACCCACCUGGCUUUGUGGGGGGUUCUAGUUGAGGCGAGUGUAGGGGGGUUCACCCGAUUCCAUUGAUAGGGGAGCAACGCGCAACGGAAAACUGACAGCUCAUCCCCUACAAGGCUGUGCUCUGAUAUUCUCCACCUGUCUCUUCAUCCCCCUGGCGAGCAUAAAAUCCACGACUGCUGGUUGCCGGUUGUUGGCUGCCUCCGCGUGUGUACUGGCUAGCCCUUGGAUAAGGGUUAUCUAUAAGGGUUGUCUUAUUGUCGUUAUUACCUGAUUAUUUGGUUCACGCUUGUGACACUUGAUACCCCGGAUUUAGUGCGGUGCAGCAGCAAGUGUUUAAACCAUGAGCUGACGUAUUUAUGAUAUGUCGUAAUGUGACCUUAUUACCUCCAUCCAGGUGAUGAACUCCUACAUUAGUGCUUUUGCGCCGCUUUCCUCGAGGUUCCUCGAUGUUCUGUGAGAAGUCAUCAAGACGCGUCACGGUAAUCGUUGACGUGAAUGUCGAGCAAUUAUCAAUAGCUGAGUAAAGUCGAUGCAUUAUCCGAAGCUUCUGAAAAUCGGCCCAAGUGGUAAAUAAUGUAGGACACCAGCGGAUGCCGGGACCUGCAAGCGGGUGCCACAGCUUCAGUGUUUCCUUCUCACGGUGAAAUAGGUUGAAGUCGUUUUACCAUUGGAAACAAAAAAACUUAUGUCGCCCUACAAUGCAAGCAUUCGUACGCGUCGCGGCACCUUCGACAUUACGCAUUCUUGACUGUAUACGUGGGUCACGGCAAAUGCAACACGUCAUCAUAUAAUUUUAGAGUCACAAUGAGCAUUUUAGGUUGUGAAAAACCGGGAAAUUCAGGUAAAAUGUGGAGGACUUCAGUGGCAGACAAAGGGGCAUAACUUGAACGACAUGACAAGUAGCAACAUGUAAGUAAGUGCAAAUGCAAAAUUUGAUGCAUAAUAAGUCUUAAACGCUUAUUGCAAAUGUUCAACGAUUGCGUUCAGUGACGUUCCCGCACCAAUCAUAGGGUGUAUUUCCAGUGCGGAUUAACGUCGCGGAUUAACCCUCUGUCCUCCAUGAAUACUUGCGCAAACGGCUAAGUUGUUGGAAAACUUACCUCGCCUUUUCGACCUUUGGUUCCCUUACGGAACGAAACUACCGUAGUGACAGGAAAUGUUCGUGAUUUUAAUUUCGUGACGGCAUCACGAAAUUAUGUCACAUAUAAAUUACAAGCUGUUCCAGGCGAUGGUCGUCACGAAUAUAUGUGUGCUCCGAAGCCAAAUCGUAUAAUGCCUUCAACACAGUAAUUACUCGUCGAAUUCCAUUUUUCUGGCCAUAUAUACAUCCAUAGUAAUUGAACGGACAUGGAUCCAAGGGCCAAGCGGCCUAAGCAACAAAGCCUCCUUCAAUGCGGACUCUUCACACUUGCUCGCGGCGCCCCAGCUACGGAUAGAGCUGGUUUUGCCGCUCCUAAAUAACCGUGCAUGCAUUGGCCAGCUUUUGCGUCAAUCGGCGUUCUGAGUUGGACCCAGUAACGAAUAUUGCAGGCACCGUUGCUUCGGUUGCGUUGGCUUCUCACGAAUUCAAAAGUUUCACCAAUAAUUUCGGGUCUAAUUUUGAGGGUGUCUCGAACAAUAAAAUCACGAACAUUUCCUGUCACUACGGUAUAUGGCAAGCUCAUACCAAGGACUUCCGUGCCAUAAUCCCUGGCCACUGGAAAUACACCCAUACUGUAAACAAAACGAACCGCGUUGAGCCGAGAGUAUCGGGAAAGGGUCGUUACGCGAACUUCGCAC
This 2141-nucleotide long non-coding RNA is filed under the name Volvox carteri. RNAcentral describes it as "long non-coding RNA (VCAR_LNC000967)". The record is from RNAcentral. Lineage: Eukaryota; Viridiplantae; Chlorophyta; Chlorophyceae; Chlamydomonadales; Volvocaceae.